GAUGAACGCUAGCGGGAGGCUUAAUACAUGCAAGUCGAACGGUAAGGCCCCUUCGGGGGUACACGAGUGGCGCACGGGUGCGUAACGCGUACAUAACUUACCCUGAAGAGGGGGAUAGCCUCGGGAAACUGAGAAUAAUACCCCAUAGUAACUAUAAAGUACAUACUUAAUAGUUUAAAGUUCCGGCGCUUCAGGAUAGGUGUGCGUAUGAUUAGCUAGUUGGUAAGGUAACGGCUUACCAAGGCUACGAUCAUUAGGGGGCGUGAGAGCGUGAUCCCCCACACGGGCACUGAGACACGGGCCCGACUCCUACGGGAGGCAGCAGUAAGGAAUAUUGGGCAAUGGAGGCAACUCUGACCCAGCCAUCCCGCGUGCAGGAUGACGGCCCUAUGGGUUGUAAACUGCUUUUCUGCAAGAAGAAUAGCAAGCAUUUAUGUUUGUAUGACGGUAUUGUAGGAAUAAGCACCGGCUAACUCCG
This 478-nucleotide ribosomal RNA is filed under the name uncultured Saprospiraceae bacterium. Its description in RNAcentral is "bacterial SSU rRNA". It matches the Rfam family "Bacterial small subunit ribosomal RNA", at positions 28 to 505 of the family's 1533-position model. Lineage: Bacteria; Pseudomonadati; Bacteroidota; Saprospiria; Saprospirales; Saprospiraceae. The record is from RNAcentral.